AGUGAACGCUGGCGGUAGGCCUAACACAUGCAAGUCGAACGGCAGCACAGUAAGAGCUUGCUCUUACGGGUGGCGAGUGGCGGACGGGUGAGGAGUACAUCGGAAUCUACUUUUUCGUGGGGGAUAACGUAGGGAAACUUACGCUAAUACCGCAUACGACCUACGGGUGAAAGCAGGGGAUCUUCGGACCUUGCGCGAUUGAAUGAGCCGAUGUCGGAUUAGCUAGUUGGCGGGGUAAAGGCCCACCAAGGCGACGAUCCGUAGCUGGUCUGAGAGGAUGAAUCGGCCCACUGGAACCUAGGCACGGGCCCGACUCCUAAGGGGAGGAGCAGGUGGGAAUAUUGGACAAAGGGGGGAAGCCUUAUCCAGCCAUACCGCGUGGGUGAAGGAGGCCUUCCGGUUGGUAAACCCCUUUUUUGGGAAAGAAAAGCAACCGGGUAAUACCCCGCUGUUCUGACGGUAACCAAAGAAUAAGCACCGGCUAACUUCGUG
Molecule: ribosomal RNA, 492 nt
Filed under: uncultured bacterium
Lineage: Bacteria
Description: partial 16S ribosomal RNA
Rfam family: Bacterial small subunit ribosomal RNA
Source: RNAcentral